Thalassophryne amazonica is the source of this 418-nucleotide long non-coding RNA. RefSeq lists it as uncharacterized. Lineage: Eukaryota; Metazoa; Chordata; Actinopteri; Batrachoidiformes; Batrachoididae. The transcript has 3 exons. The record is from RefSeq and is a predicted model, not a curated record.
GAUUUGAUUUGAACAUGUACAAACUGUACGUAAGACAAUAGGAUCGUAAUAAUUAAACAACUGCAAAUUAUAAAUAACACAAUGCUCAUACGGCCAAGGGUAUUUUAGCUUGGGUUAUAUUUUUUUAUAAUCCAGGUCCUGUGGGUCACUGAGUUCUGUCUGAGUUUAACUGAGCACUCAGAAAAGUCAAGACCAGAAAUGUGAUUUCCCCCCUCUAACUGCUGCAUUUUUUUAAAAAUUGUAUUUAUAUUUUUCAUGUCUGUUACUUUUUCAUUGAAACUCCAAAGGUGUUAAUUAUUUAAUGUUGGUGGUAUGAUGUCAAAAUGACCACCUACAGCUCAUUUUUCUGUCAAUUGUAGCUGCAUGCCUGUCAUGGCACAUGUGAAAAAUAGGUGCCAGGUGUAGAACACACACUGCA